UAACAAGGAUUCCCCUAGUAACUGCGAGUGAAGCGGGAAGAGCUCAAAUUUAAAAUCUGGCWGUCUUCUGGCUGUCCGAGUUGUAAUCUGGAGAAGUGUUUUCUGUGUUAGACCGUGUACAAGUCUCCUGGAACGGAGCSUCAUAGAGGGUGAGAAUCCCGUCCAUGACACGGACUACUAAUACUUUGUGAUACGCUCUCGAAGAGUCGAGUUGUUUGGGAAUGCAGCUCAAAAUGGGUGGUAAAUUCCAUCUAAAGCUAAAUACAGGCGAGAGACCGAUAGCGAACAAGUACCGUGAGGGAAAGAUGAAAAGCACUUUGGAAAGAGAGUUAAACAGUACGUGAAAUUGUUGAAAGGGAAACGCUUGAAGUCAGUCGCGUUGUGCAGAACUCAGCCUUGCCUCGGCUUGGUGCACUUUCUGCAUAACGGGUCAACAUCAAUUUUGGUCCAUGGAGAAAGGUGGGGGGAAUGUAGUGCUGUUUCGGCAGUGUGUUAUAGCCCUCUAUUGUAUACAUGGGCUGGGAUUGAGGAUCGCAGCACGCCCUUGUGGCCGGGGGUUUCGCCCUACGUACCGUGCUUAGGAUGUUGGCAGAAUGGCUUUAAGCGACCCGUCUUGAAACACGGACCAAGGAGUCUAACAUGCUUGCGAGUGUUCGGGUGGAAAACCCUUGUGCAUAAUGAAAGUGAAAGUUGGGAACCUCCGCAAGAGGGUGCACCGACGCCCGGCCCUGACGUUCUCUGACGGUGCUGCGGUAGAGCAAGUAUGCUAGGACCCGAAAGAUGGUGAACUAUGCCUGAAUAGGGCGAAGCCAGAGGAAACUCUGGUGGAGGCUCGUAGCGAUUCUGACGUGCAAAUCGAUCGUCAAAUUUGGG
RNAcentral lists this ribosomal RNA (873 nucleotides) under Fomitiporia sp. MUCL 52350. Its description in RNAcentral is "eukaryotic LSU rRNA". It matches the Rfam family "Eukaryotic large subunit ribosomal RNA", at positions 66 to 915 of the family's 3401-position model. The record is from RNAcentral. Lineage: Eukaryota; Fungi; Basidiomycota; Agaricomycetes; Hymenochaetales; Hymenochaetaceae.